GACGAACGCUGGCGGCGUGCUUAACACAUGCAAGUCGAACGGAAAGGCCCUGCUUGCAGGGUACUCGAGUGGCGAACGGGUGAGUAACACGUGGGUGAUCUGCCCUGCACUUCGGGAUAAGCCUGGGAAACUGGGUCUAAUACCGGAUAGGAGCCAUUUUUAGUGUGAUGGUUGGAAAGUUUUUUCGGUGUAGGAUGAGCUCGCGGCCUAUCAGCUUGUUGGUGGGGUAAUGGCCUACCAAGGCGGCGACGGGUAGCCGGCCUGAGAGGGUGGACGGCCACAUUGGGACUGAGAUACGGCCCAGACGCCUACGGGAGGCAGCAGGGGGGAAGAUUGCACAAUGGGCGCAAGCCUGAUGCAGCGACGCCGCGUGGGGGAUGACGGCCUUCGGGUUGUAAACGCCGUUCGCUAGGGACGAAGCUUUUUGUGACGGUACCUAGAUAAGAAGCACCGGCUAACUACGUG
This 465-nucleotide ribosomal RNA is filed under the name uncultured bacterium. RNAcentral's name for it is "partial 16S ribosomal RNA". It matches the Rfam family "Bacterial small subunit ribosomal RNA", at positions 28 to 507 of the family's 1533-position model. The record is from RNAcentral.